This 107-nucleotide small nucleolar RNA is filed under the name Gossypium hirsutum (cotton). RNAcentral's name for it is "Plant small nucleolar RNA R71". It matches the Rfam family "Plant small nucleolar RNA R71". From Rfam's summary of the family: R71 is a member of the C/D box family of snoRNAs containing the C (UGAUGA) and D (CUGA) box motifs. The record is from Rfam by way of RNAcentral. Lineage: Eukaryota; Viridiplantae; Streptophyta; Magnoliopsida; Malvales; Malvaceae.
AUUCCAUGAUGAGGGAACUUUCGUAAUAACUCUUUGUACCUUUCACAUGCCUCAUACAGGGACCCGUCAUCCAUUUGUUGAAAGGCAGUAAUCUCAUUCCUCAACUU